AUCAGUUUAGGUGGAGAGGCGUCCUGCUGCUUUGUUGGGGCAUCGUGUGUCGAUGGAGGCACCUGUUAAGUCAACAUAGGAGCCACGGCUGCUGUAAUCUCCGCUGUUCAAUUAGCUGCAGUGACCGGGACGCCACCUACACUUCAUUACCAGGGAGGGGAAGGUGUCACAUGCAGCCAGCAGGAGUAAAGAGACGAGAGUAAAACAGCUCGCUGUCAGAAGUGAGACACAUUUCUAGGUGAAGCAUACUGAAUUCAAGUGAAUCAAGCUGAACUGAUCUGAACUGGAAUGGCCUGAGCUGAACUGAAAGGAAAGCUUCAGCCUGACAGGACUAAUUGAUGCCUGUUGUUUCCUGGGGGGGUUCCUUGAUAUAUUUAUUCUGCUGUUCACUCUUAUGUCAUGUUGUGUGACGUGAAAUAAACCAAAAAUAAGUUUGACUCAUUGAGAUCUUUUCAUUGAGUACAAUUUAUCACAGAAUAUGAAAUUACAUUAAAGUUGUCACUCCCUUCUCAGAGAGUUUGUUUUCGUUGUUUGUUUCUGUUGCUAUGUUACUAUGUCUAAAUAACUCAUGGAGGGAUCAUAAUGGAAUACAAAUCUUAAAAGGGUUAGUUCACACCAAAACUAAAAACCCAUAAGUUUCCUCGUACCUGUAGUGCUUUUUAUAAAUCUAAAUUGUUUUGGUGUGAGGUGCAGAGAUUCAACAUAAUUAAAUGACCUGAACUGGAAUGCCUCUUCCCAGAAAUCAUGAGCAGUAAUCCACAGACUUCGUUGUAAGCAGUUUCAUGUAGGAAAAAUGUUCUCUCUACAACAUCAGCAACAAUAUCAAUGCAAAGAAGGAAGAGUGCAUCUUUACAUGGACGAGAAACUGUCCGGCGCUGGUUACAUCUCAGCUGAAGAAGACGCCAUCUUGUUUACAUUUUGCCCUCUUUCUCUGCUCCAGAAAUACUGUUUCUGUUCCAACUUUAUUUUGUUAUAAGUUUGGGGAAGUCAAGCACUUCCUCGCUUCGUCUUCUUAAUGUAGCUUUUGUCUGUUAUGAUCAGUUAGAUGGUUGGUUUUUUCAACAUCUUUGAGGAUGUUGACAUAUGUCAACCAGAAUUUAGGUAUUGUAAUAUUGAUAUGUAAACCAGCUUGAAGUGUUUAUAUCAAGUGUUCCCAAUCAUUGGAACCUCAUAGAUGCUUCAACAUGUAUUUGUAUAAUAAUAUGCCAUUUUGUAUUGUAAAAAAACAGUAUGAUAAUGUGCAGAUAUGUAUCACCUCAAUCUGGAAUUUGGCCAAAGUGAGUGGCCAAAAAAUAUAUAUAUAGAUGUUAUUGCAUAUU
This is a long non-coding RNA of Notothenia coriiceps (black rockcod), 1319 nucleotides long. RefSeq lists it as uncharacterized. The record is from RefSeq and is a predicted model, not a curated record. The transcript is spliced from 3 exons. Lineage: Eukaryota; Metazoa; Chordata; Actinopteri; Perciformes; Nototheniidae.